CAUAGCUCAGUGGUAGAGCACCUGCUUUGCAUGCAGAAGGUCUCAGGUUCAUUCCCCGGCAGGUGGA
This 67-nucleotide transfer RNA is filed under the name Podarcis lilfordi (Lilford's wall lizard). RNAcentral describes it as "tRNA.Ala". The stretch from base 3 to 59 matches the Rfam family "tRNA", at positions 8 to 63 of the family's 71-position model. Rfam says of the family: Transfer RNA (tRNA) molecules are approximately 80 nucleotides in length. Their secondary structure includes four short double-helical elements and three loops (D, anti-codon, and T loops). Lineage: Eukaryota; Metazoa; Chordata; Lepidosauria; Squamata; Lacertidae. The record is from RNAcentral.